RNAcentral lists this long non-coding RNA (813 nucleotides) under Setaria viridis. Its description in RNAcentral is "long non-coding RNA (SVIR_LNC003342)". Lineage: Eukaryota; Viridiplantae; Streptophyta; Magnoliopsida; Poales; Poaceae. The record is from RNAcentral.
UUGGUUAAGCUCCGGAUCCGCAUACUCUAUCUUCAGCUCCAACUUCAGGUAGUCGCGUUUGAUUCUGUUGAACCAGAGGUCUUACGCCCAAAAUAGAGUAUUAUAUUACUAGAAUUGCCCGCGCCACUAAAGUUGCACAAAGCAUACCAAAGUGUUACGUUGCAGUUGAAAGAAUUGCAACUUGUACAAAGCAUCAAGCAUGGUCUGUAGCAUCAUCCUCUCACGCUGAAAAUACCGUUCCCCCACAGAACUUGCAAAACAGCCAACUCUGGCAGCGCGAACGGACAGAAGGUGACGUACGUGCCAACCAUGUCGGCCAUACAUCAUCUACGUCGCUCCCAAGGCACGGCCAUUGGUGCAAGCCUGAUGUGGUGUCUACUCAUGCUCCAUGCUAGGUGUUGUAGUUCAGCGUAGGGUCUGCGGAGUACGGACUGCUUCUAAAGGUACGAGCAUGUGGCUCGCUAUAGGCCAUUUGUUGCGGGAGACAUCGUCCUGUGGCGCGACAGUAGACACUGUUUGUCCGCUACAUGAUUGAAGCAACUAUGAACCCAAAAAGCAGAAAUGAACAGCAGUGAAGGCCAAAAGUCUCAAGCUCGGGUGAGGAUGAUGGCAUUGUGCAGCAAACAGCUAAGAUAUAAGCAAAACUCUGCAUUUUGCUAAACAGAUGUCAUCCUUUGCCACAGCCAAAUCCAACACGACCGUCAGCUGUUACAGGUAUAUCGAAUCGACGGCUUUUGCCAGUAGCGAUGACUCAUGAGAAAUUAAAUGGUUGCAAAGCACAAUGUAAAGGGAUUUUCGGAUCCACAUCCGAUG